GUAACCUGCCUUGGAGUGGGGAAGUAACAGCUGGAAACAGCUGCUAAUACCGCAUAAUGCAGUUGGGUCGCAUGGCUCUGACUGCCAAAGAUUUAUCGCUCUGAGAUGGACUCGCGUCUGAUUAGCUAGUUGGCGGGGUAACGGCCCACCAAGGCGACGAUCAGUAGCCGGACUGAGAGGUUGGCCGGCCACAUUGGGACUGAGACACGGCCCAGACUCCUACGGGAGGCAGCAG
This 235-nucleotide ribosomal RNA is filed under the name uncultured bacterium. RNAcentral's name for it is "partial 16S ribosomal RNA". It matches the Rfam family "Bacterial small subunit ribosomal RNA", at positions 121 to 354 of the family's 1533-position model. The record is from RNAcentral.